This 326-nucleotide ribosomal RNA is filed under the name uncultured eukaryote. RNAcentral describes it as "partial 18S ribosomal RNA". It matches the Rfam family "Eukaryotic small subunit ribosomal RNA", at positions 1470 to 1796 of the family's 1831-position model. The record is from RNAcentral.
CCCUUAGAUGUUCUGGGCUGCACGCGCGCUACACUGAUGCAUGCAACGAGUUUUCGACCUUGCCUGAAAAGGUUGGGUAAUCUGUUUAACAUGUGUCGUGGUGGGGAUAGACCAUUGCAAUUAUUGAUCUUCAACGAGGAAUUCCUAGUAAGCGCGAGUCAUCAGCUCGUGCUGAUUAUGUCCCUGCCCUUUGUACACACCGCCCGUCGCUCCUACCGAUUGAGUGAUCCGGCGAAUGAUUCGGACCAGCGUGCUGCUCAGAUCCUGCGCAGUGUGCUGGGAAGUCUAGUGAACCUUAUCACUUAGAGGAAGGAGAAGUCGUAACA